RNAcentral lists this long non-coding RNA (685 nucleotides) under Homo sapiens (human). RNAcentral's name for it is "HSALNT0257396". The record is from RNAcentral. Lineage: Eukaryota; Metazoa; Chordata; Mammalia; Primates; Hominidae.
CUUUACCCACAUAUAUUGUGGCCAAGAACAAAGAUGUAAUGAUGACUGUCAUACCUCGAAGGUGGCAAUAGGAGAGAUAAUGUUGCCCCUAGGUAGGCUUAGGAAAAUAACAAAGUCUUUUUUCUGUACAAAAGUCAUAGAGAAUUACCAAUUUCUCACAUCUAUAAAGACCUAGUAUGUUACAGAGAAUGUCAUAACAAGACCCAGCACACAGUUGGAAUUUUCACUGUCAUAAGUGAACAUCUGGCCACAGUUGGGAUGGUGACUCAUUUCUAAACCCAGCUUGUAGGAAGGUGAGGACUCUCCUAUCUGGACUCAACCAAUUGGAGAGAUGUUGACUGUCAUAUCUGGACGUAGAACCACAGGGAAGACUCUGGAUCUCCUUCCUGUAUGAAGGUCACAGAGGAUCACCAUUCUUGCAUAUUGUAUAAAGCCUUCAGGUGACACAGAGAGUGUCAUAAGAGAACACAGCACACAGGUGGGCUAGUGACUCUCAGACCAAGAUUCAGCACACAUGUGAGGCUGUAACUGCACUGAAAGGACAAGUCUGCAGAAUAAACUGUGGCUGUCUUGCAAAAAUUCUGUCAACCAUUGAGACUGUGACUCACACACUUAGAUCCAACAUCCAAGGCUGGGCGCAGUGGCUCACGCCUGUAAUCCCAGCACUUUGAAAGGCCAACGCAGG